CCAGAGUUCAUGGAAAUGAGUGUUGAGCAGGAAAUUCUGGUGACUGGUAUCAAGGUUGUCGAUCUGCUAGCUCCCUAUGCCAAGGGUGGCAAAAUUGGGCUUUUUGGUGGUGCCGGAGUUGGCAAGACUGUACUGAUCAUGGAGUUAAUCAACAAUGUCGCCAAAGCCCAUGGUGGUUACUCUGUGUUUGCUGGUGUUGGUGAGAGGACCCGUGAAGGCAAUGAUUUAUACCAUGAAAUGAUUGAAUCUGGUGUUAUCAACUUAUUGAUAACAUCUUUCGCUUCACCCAGGCUGGUUCAGAGGUGUCUGCAUUAUUGGGCCGAAUCCCUUCUGCUGUGGGCUAUCAGCCUACCCUGGCCACUGACAUGGGUACUAUGCAGGAAAGAAUUACCACUACCAAGAAGGGAUCUAUCACCUCUGUACAGGCUAUCUAUGUGCCUGCUGAUGACUUGACUGACCCUGCCCCUGCUACUACGUUUGCCCAUUUGGAUGCUACCACUGUACUGUCGCGUGCCAUUGCUGAGCUGGGCAUCUAUCCAGCUGUGGAUCCUCUAGACUCCACCUCUCGUAUCAUGGAUCCCAACAUUGUUGGCAGUGAGCAUUACGAUGUUGCCCGUGGGGUGCAAAAGAUCCUGCAGGACUACAAAUCCCUCCAGGAUAUCAUUGCCAUCCUGGGUAUGGAUGAACUUUCUGAGGAAGAUAAGUUGACUGUGUCCCGUGCACGGAAAAUACAGCGUUUCUUGUCUCAGCCAUUCCAGGUUGCUGAGGUCUUCACAGGUCAUAUGGGGAAGCUGGUACCCUUGAAGGAGACCAUCAAAGGGUUCCAGCAGAUUUUGGCAG
RNAcentral lists this small RNA (840 nucleotides) under Pan troglodytes (chimpanzee). Its description in RNAcentral is "processed transcript". The record is from RNAcentral. Lineage: Eukaryota; Metazoa; Chordata; Mammalia; Primates; Hominidae.